This is a long non-coding RNA of Humulus lupulus (European hop), 683 nucleotides long. RefSeq lists it as uncharacterized. The record is from RefSeq and is a predicted model, not a curated record. NCBI's taxonomy places the organism in Eukaryota, Viridiplantae, Streptophyta, Magnoliopsida, Rosales, Cannabaceae. The transcript has 3 exons.
CAGCCACCCUAAAAAAAAUCAAACUCUAAAUAUUCAUUUUCCCUUUCCCUCUUCCCUCUUUCCUUCUUUUUCCCUCUUCUCUUUUCUUGUCCAUGUGCGACUGCUUCUUCCAGCCACCGUCGACGCUGAAGUCCACAAGCCACCUGCACGUGUCUCCUCCAUCUAUCCUCUUGGAGUAAAUCGAAGGGGGAUCUUGAUAAAUGGGCAAUUUCUAGGGCCUCAGUUUGAGUCGGUUACCAAUGUCAACUUGAUUGUUAGUGUCUUCAAUGCCUUGGACGAACCCUUUCUCAUCUCAUGGCAGACCAGAACCAACAGCUGGAGGCCCAAUGACUUCACAGUGGAUGCACUAUUAUUCACUUUCUGUUUCAAGCGCUUCUCAUUUGAACUUCCAUAACGAAUUUGAUGACGACUUUAGAUGGGUUUCUUGAAGUCUUGAAAAGGAUCCCAAGAUAGGUUUUGAAUGGUCCACAGGCAUGAAAUCGGUAUAGUUUUUCUUGUGAAGGAUUGAUUUAACAACAUAUCCAAAUUCAUAUAUCCACUAUGCGUCUCUCAAGCCCGGAAGUUGGGGCCGCAGGAUGCUUCUUCACCUCUUUUCACCUUAUAUUAGUAAGAAAUUUUUAACAAUUUGUACUCGAUGUGUUAAAGGCUUGGAACUUUUUUGUGAUAGAAAUUAGUAAGGAAAG